GCCAUCCCCAUUUUCACUCAGGUGUCCCUUGUCACCCCCUCAGUGUCAGGUUGGAUUCUCGUCCCCUCUGUCCAUUUGUGCCCACCCUCCCCCUGUCCCCACUGUCCCCAUUGUCCCCUCCGUGUCCCCAUUGUCCCCUCCGUGUCUCCCCCAGAUCAUGCACGGGGGACUCUUCAGCGAGGACGGUGUCACCCUCGAUGACAUCCGCAAGAUCGAGCGGAACCGGCAGCCCCCGGACUCAGGGCCGAUGUGUGACCUGCUCUGGUCUGACCCCCAGCCCCAGAACGGCCGGUCGGUCAGCAAGCGGGGGGUC
Molecule: long non-coding RNA, 313 nt
Organism: Malurus melanocephalus (red-backed fairy wren)
Lineage: Eukaryota; Metazoa; Chordata; Aves; Passeriformes; Maluridae
Exons: 3
Source: RefSeq, a predicted model, not a curated record